Molecule: ribosomal RNA, 305 nt
Filed under: uncultured bacterium
Lineage: Bacteria
Description: partial 16S ribosomal RNA
Rfam family: Bacterial small subunit ribosomal RNA
Source: RNAcentral
ACAGCAGCAGCCACGGUAAUACAGAGGGUGCGAGCGUUAAUCGGAUUUACUGGGCGUAAAGCGUGCGUAGGCGGCUUCUUAAGUCGGAUGUGAAAUCCCUGAGCUUAACUUAGGAAUUGCAUUCGAUACUGGGAAGCUAGAGUAUGGGAGAGGAUGGUAGAAUUCCAGGUGUAGCGGUGAAAUGCGUAGAGAUCUGGAGGAAUACCGAUGGCGAAGGCAGCCAUCUGGCCUAAUACUGACGCUGAGGUACGAAAGCAUGGGGAGCAAACAGGAUUAGAUACCCCUGUAGUCCCUGUCUUUUAUAC